RNAcentral lists this ribosomal RNA (300 nucleotides) under uncultured Desulfomicrobium sp. RNAcentral describes it as "bacterial SSU rRNA". It matches the Rfam family "Bacterial small subunit ribosomal RNA", at positions 1085 to 1382 of the family's 1533-position model. The record is from RNAcentral. Lineage: Bacteria; Pseudomonadati; Thermodesulfobacteriota; Desulfovibrionia; Desulfovibrionales; Desulfomicrobiaceae.
CCCGCCAACGAGCGCAACCCCUACUCUCAGUUGCCAGCACAUAAUGGUGGGCACUCUGUGGAGACUGCCCGGGUUAACCCGGGAGGAAGGUGGGGAUGACGUCAAGUCAUCAUGGCCCUUACGCCUAGGGCUACACACGUACUACAAUGGUGGGUACAAAGGGCAGCGAAACCGCGAGGUCGAGCGAAUCUCAAAAAACCCCAUCAUAGUCCGGAUUGCAGUCUGCAACUCGACUGCAUGAAGUUGGAAUCGCUAGUAAUCCCGGAUCAGCAUGCCGGGGUGAAUACGUUCCCGGGCCUU